Molecule: RNase P RNA, 328 nt
Filed under: bovine gut metagenome
Description: Bacterial RNase P class A
Rfam family: Bacterial RNase P class A
About the family: Ribonuclease P (RNase P) is a ubiquitous endoribonuclease, found in archaea, bacteria and eukarya as well as chloroplasts and mitochondria. Its best characterised activity is the generation of mature 5'-ends of tRNAs by cleaving the 5'-leader elements of precursor-tRNAs. Cellular RNase Ps are ribonucleoproteins.
Source: RNAcentral
GACGGCCAGAUAGCCGCUCCCGUUUUAACGCACGGGGGAGGAACUUCCGGACUCCGCACGGCAGUGUGCCGCUCGAAAGGGCGGGGCGGCGGACUUUAACAUCCGCCGGACGGAAAGUGCCGCAGAAAAAAUACCGCCCGCAAGGGUAAGGGUGAAAAGGUGCGGUAAGAGCGCACCGCGCGUUUGGUAACAAACGCGGCAGGGCAAACCCCACACGGAGCAAGGCCAAGCCGGUUCAUACGCUGCCCGCGUUCGUAACCAAGUAGGCCGCUUAGAGUAAUGGCUAUCCAGCCCGGGGGGGCUGACAGAAUCUGGGGUAUCGGUCGUC